RNAcentral lists this ribosomal RNA (318 nucleotides) under uncultured bacterium. RNAcentral describes it as "bacterial SSU rRNA". It matches the Rfam family "Bacterial small subunit ribosomal RNA", at positions 9 to 327 of the family's 1533-position model. The record is from RNAcentral.
GAGUUUGAUCCUGGCUCAGGACGAACGCUGGCGGCGUGCUUAACACAUGCAAGUCGAGCGGUAAGGCCCUUUCGGGGGUACACGAGCGGCGAACGGGUGAGUAACACGUGGGUAACCUGCCCUCAGCUCUGGGAUAAGCCCGGGAAACUGGGUCUAAUACCGGAUAUGACUCCGCAUCGCAUGGUGUGGGGUGGAAAGCCUUGUGCGGCUGAGGAUGGGCCCGCGGCCUAUCAGCUUGUUGGUGGGGUAGUGGCCUACCAAGGCGACGACGGGCAUCCGGCCUGAUAGGGCGACCGGCCUCAUUGUUUAUUGAUACAU